RNAcentral lists this ribosomal RNA (254 nucleotides) under uncultured bacterium. RNAcentral's name for it is "partial 16S ribosomal RNA". It matches the Rfam family "Bacterial small subunit ribosomal RNA", at positions 524 to 776 of the family's 1533-position model. The record is from RNAcentral.
UACGUAGGGGGCGAGCGUUGUCCGAAUUUACUGGGCGUAAAGCGCGCGUAGGCGGGGGGUUAAGUGAGAGGUGAAAGGCUGGGGCUCAACCUCAUGCAGUGCCUCUCAUACUGGCCUUCUUGAGGGCGGUAGGGAGAAGUGGAAUGGCUGGUGUAGCGGUGAAAUGCGUAGAUAUCAGUCGGAACACCGGUGGCGAAGGCGGCUUCUUGGGCCGUUCCUGACGCUGAUGCGCGAAAGCGUGGGGAGCAAACAGG